Molecule: ribosomal RNA, 1350 nt
Filed under: Triticum aestivum (bread wheat)
Lineage: Eukaryota; Viridiplantae; Streptophyta; Magnoliopsida; Poales; Poaceae
Description: partial small subunit ribosomal RNA
Source: RNAcentral
AUGGGGAGCAGCAGAAAGGCCAAGGUCCUCGCCGUCGCGGUGGCCGUCACGGUGCUGGUGGCGGCCGAGGUGGCCCUCUACCUCUGCCUGCGCCCACUCUCCAGGCCCUUCUACCUCUCCACGGCCGCCGUCCUGGCCGCGACCGUCCUCACGCUGCUGCUGCUGCUCGACUGCACGGCGGGGCGGGCGGAGCGCAUGGCGGCGCGGCGGGCGCUGGACGACGGCGAGGAGCUGCGCGCCGAGUACAGCUACUUCCGCAAGGUCGCCGGGCUGCCGCGCAAGUUCUCGCUGCACGCGCUGGCGGCGGCCACGGACGACUUCCGGUGCGUGGCCGGGCGGGGCGCCUCGGGCACGGUCUUCCGCGGCGUCCUCGACGACGGCGAGUUCCGGGCGGAGGUGGCGGCCAUCGCCGGCGCGCAGCACGUCAACCUGGCCCGCCUCCUCGGCUUCUGCCUCGGCUCCCCGCGCUUCCUCGUCUACGAGUACAUGGACCACGGCUCCCUCGACCGCUGGAUCUUCCCCGCCCCCGCCCCCGGCGGCGGCGCCGAUGAGGACCGCCCGCGCGGCUGCCUGCCGUGGCCGCGCCGCCACCAGGUCGCCGUCGACGUGGCCAAGGCGCUCGCCUACCUGCACCACGACUGCCGCUCCAAGGUGCUGCACCUGGACGUCAAGCCGGAGAACAUCCUCCUCGACGACGGCUUCCGGGGCGUCCUCUCCGACUUCGGCCUCUCCAAGCUCGCCGGCAAGGACCAGAGCCGGGUGGUCACGGCGGUGCGCGGCACCGCGGGCUACCUGGCGCCCGAGUGGCUCCUCGGCGCCGGCGUCACCGAGAAGUCCGACGUCUACAGCUACGGCAUGGUGCUGCUGGAGCUGGUCGCCGGCCGCCGCUGCGUGCGGCCCGAGGAGGACGGCGGGUGGUCGUACCUGCCCAAGAUCGCCGCCGAGAUGACGCAGGCGGGGCGCGUGAUGGAGGUCGUGGACCGGAGGCUCGUCGGGGAGGCGGAGCAGGCGGCGGUGCGGCGCGCGGUGCACGUGGCGCUGUGGUGCGCGCAGGAGAAGGCCUGGGCGCGGCCGAGCAUGGCGCGCGUGCUGGAGAUGCUGGAGGGGAGGCUCGCCGGGGACGUGGACGCGCCGCCGCCGUCGGACACGAUCAUGGAGGACCUGCUGGCGCUCGGCCACAAGCGCGCGCGGCGGCGGGCCGUUCCGGCUGCCGUCGGCGGGCCCGGCCGGGAGGGCCGCCUCGUCGGCGUCGGUGCUGAGCAAGUGCGACUCGUUCGCCAUGUCCUACCUGUCAGGGAGAUAGCGCUGUCGAGUCACCUCUUAGCCUUAACUGCGUCCAUUUAUGGGUGA